GUUCGAUUGUGCGUCAAGAAUUCAGCAUAGCAAGUUUGUAUGAAGGUCUAGUUAUUAAUUAGUACAUAGCUCAAUAGUAAUAUCCUCGAAAACGCUCUGGUGACAAACAAACUUUGCUGCCUUGUUUCCAAUUGUGCACAUGGCUGGGAGAACCUAUUCAAGUAAGUAAAUACAUUUCGAAAAUGUAAAAAAAAAACGAUGUAUUAUUAGCUAACUAACUACAGUGCAGGCUAACUCAAAUGAGCUGCUAAAUGAGCUAUCUAGAUGAGCUAACUUCACAUACUGUAUAGAUAGCUAGCUACGUGAAUGAAAUAUCACCAUCUACCUAACUUCAUAUUAGCUACCUAUCUUGAUGCAUUUAUCACUGUAAAAAAAAAAACUCCAAAUUAAUUUGUAGGUAGCUAGCUAACAGCCAUGGAGGAGGGUGAUAGGAUAGCAGCCCCAAUUGUGAGUAGGCUAUUCUGGAUAGGGCAGGUCAUUUUGUGUAGUUCCUGUCUCUAGAAGUGAGGAUGGAGAUAAUAGCAACAUAAUAUUCAGUGUGGUGUAAUUUGACUAUAAUGAAGUCUGUUUCUUGUGAGGUUUUCUGUCCUCAGAUAGAGGGCUAUGAAAGCCUGUCUACAUAUGAAGUGCAGUGGUUCUCAGUCCUGGGGACUCAAAGGGGUGCACAUUUUUCUUUUUGCCUUAACACUGCGCAGCUGAUUCAAAUGAUCAACUUAUCAUCAAGCUUCAAGUGAUACCUUGUAACUGGAGAUUCCUUCAAAACGAGUGCCUACAGUUAACGUGUAGGGCACUGCAAGGUUGGGUGACCAGGAGGGCCAUCUGGGACUGCCUCCUGGAGGAAUUCAGGUGUGUGAAGGCUACCUGUGUCCUGCAUAACUUAAUGAGGAUGGACACGAGGACCAGGAGGGGAUCUGCAGCUCGCUGCCGUCUGCCAGAGGAGAAGUCUGCUGCUCUGCAGGAUGUUUCAAGGAUGGGGUCCAACAAUGUAGCAAGAGGCAAUCCGUGUGCGGGAGAUCUUCACCUCCUACUUCUUCGGAGAGGGUGCUGUUCCCUGGCAAUACCAUAGACUACACGAUGCACAACCAAAGGCUCUUUUAAGAGUCAUUCAUAUUGCAAUAAGAAUAUUCUUCCAUGUCAACUGCAGUUAUUCAAUUCCCAGUUUCUCUCUCUUUGAUUUCUACUUCUCAGGUGAGGGUGCUGUUAAGGUAAGGGUGUGAUGUCUGUACAAAAACAAAACAGGCUAUUUUAAAUCACCCAUAUUGAAAAAAUGUAGAACAAUUAGACACCCUAUAACCCACACGCUCAUGUAUCAAUCUGAUUAAUGGAUUGUGUUGUGCAGUAAGCAGGCUCAGGUGUAUAACUGUGGCUCCUUCCACCUUCAAAGAAUAGGCAAGAGGGCCAACCAUGGAGAAUAGUAAGACACUUCAUUAUUUCUAUAACUACGCUAUAUUGUUUGUCCACGUGUGUCCGUUCAUGUUUUUCCAGCAUAAAGUACUCUGCAGCCACUUAGUGUGGUGUGGACACCAGGUGAGGCCACACACACAGAUUUCUGUUGAACACUGUCUUUAACUACCUUAAUUUCUCAAUAAGUCUCUCUCCUUCACUUCAUCCCUCUCUCCUCUUCUCCCUAAAUCCUCUAGGUUAUAUCAGCUGUGUCGGUGAACCCCUCCCUCAUCUGAACUGGCUACAUGGAGGGCACAGCAUGAUCAGAGAUGAGAGGUCACUUGGUCAGGUCAACAGGAAGUAUUAUUAAAGAGAUGCUUUACAUUGAAAUACAGAUAGAGAUGCAGUAGUCCCAGAGUUAAUGAUCCAAGGUCAGUUUUGCAUUUCACCUCCUGAUUUAUUAUGAUGACUAACAGUGUUAGAAUAAAAAAUUAAAGCACAAGGCUUAAACAUGCUAUCUGUCUCUAGUCUGCAGAUAUGUUUUGACGUGAGAGGAUGCCAACCCCCAGUCCCAUCAUUGCCAACCUUCGGACUGACUAGUUUCACUAUUAUGUAAUUGUGAUGAACUAAGAGAAUAUUUGGGUUUCACUGUGAUUCAUUAAUCAUAUGCUGCCUUCCCUGCCCCUAUGUCUUUACCUCUUUCCCUUCUGUCUUUUACACCUCUCUCGCCACCUCUUUCUUCCUGUUUUUAUAAUGCACAACAGAUGUGCAUUGAAGUACAGAUUGAACUUGUAUUUAUAAUAUUACAAUUAUAUUUAUAAUGCAUGUAUUUAUAACACUUGGAUAAUGAACUUCUUUCAAUAAAGCAUUUCACAUUCUC
Molecule: long non-coding RNA, 2263 nt
Organism: Salmo salar (Atlantic salmon)
Lineage: Eukaryota; Metazoa; Chordata; Actinopteri; Salmoniformes; Salmonidae
Source: RefSeq, a predicted model, not a curated record